GAUGAAGAACGUAUCGAAAUGCGAUAAGUAGUGUGAAUUGCAGAAGUACCGUGAAUCAUCGAAUCUUUGAACGCAAAUUGCACUCUCUGGUAUUCCGGGGAGUAUGCCUGUUUGAGGGUCGCUUAACAAACCAUCGAUUUCGUUGCUUUUUUUUUAAAAAAGUGAUGUUUAUCGGAUUUGAGCCGUCUUUUUUUUUUUAUAUUUAAGUGGCUUAAAAUUGAUUUUUUUUGGUACGAUCGAAGCGUAUUUUUAUGAUCAAUUUUUGGUUAAAGAAACGCACACGUACCGUUAUUUAUAUGAUGUAAUACGUUUGACUAUCGGAUUUAGUUCAUUCGUAUACGAUAUUUUUCAAUAUUUGACCUCAAAUCAGGUAAGAACACCCGCUGAACUUAAGCAUAUCAAUAAGCGGAGGA
RNAcentral lists this unclassified non-coding RNA (413 nucleotides) under soil metagenome. RNAcentral describes it as "partial contains 5.8S ribosomal RNA, internal transcribed spacer 2, and large subunit ribosomal RNA". The stretch from base 1 to 121 matches the Rfam family "5.8S ribosomal RNA", at positions 35 to 154 of the family's 154-position model. The record is from RNAcentral.